UAAUAGCGUAUAUUAAAGUUGUUGCAGUUAAAAAGCUCGUAGUCGAAUUUUGGGGUCGGGCAGGCUGUCGGCCUAGUGUCGGACGGUCAUCUCGGCUCUUUCUUUCUGGGGACCGCGUCACCUUUAACUAGGGGGCGUUUGGGACGCAGAUCGUUUACUUUGAAAAAUUAGAGUGUUCAAAGCAAGCCUUCGCUUGAAUACAUUAGCAUGGAAUAAUGGAAUAGGACUGCGGUUCUAUUUUGUUGGUUUCUAGGACCGAAGUAAUGAUUAAUAGGGACAGUUGGGGCCGUUUGUAUUUCGUUGUCAGAGGUGAAAUUCUUGGAUUUACGAAAGACAAACUUCUGCGAAAGCAUUCGGCAAGGAUGUUUUCAUUGA
RNAcentral lists this ribosomal RNA (375 nucleotides) under uncultured eukaryote. Its description in RNAcentral is "partial 18S ribosomal RNA". It matches the Rfam family "Eukaryotic small subunit ribosomal RNA", at positions 592 to 976 of the family's 1831-position model. The record is from RNAcentral.